CGCUGAUUUCACAAAUGCAUCUGGGCUGGGAAGAUGUUGACUAAUUCAGAGGAGAAAGGGACUGAACCGAGCCCUGGUGAGCACGGAAGGCUCUGUGCUGGCGAGGCUAAGCCACACGGCCGGCUCCUCCUGCUCCAUCUUCCAGACACACAAUACAGCCUGGCACCUUGCACGUAAGCUCUGAAUCAAGCGAGACAUCAAAUUCAUUGCUUUAGCUCUGCUUCUCACGAAAUCAGAGAAGAUGGCUACAGAGAGAAGAUGCCUUCACAGUGAGGGCAGUGUGGGGUCAAGAGUCUGUUGGCUGUGACGUGGACAUCAGUUGGGGUGUGAGUGAUUUUCAACGGAGCCUCUCUCUCGGCCUGAGCAGACCCGCAGGGGUCACGUGAAGGUGCUGAGUGCAAGCCUGUUCUUGCUUGUGUCCCUGCCGUGUCAGGAAAGCAGGAAAGCUCCAGAGAGGAGAAUAAAGAGUCCCCAGUCAUGAGUUCUGGAAGACAAGGAAAAGAAAGAUCUUUGGAAACUAUGGUCCAGUCUUCACUUCCAACCAAGAACCAAAUAUUUGACCUCGCGGGGCCGCCAUGAGGAUGAAGGGAGUAAAUGUGGGCAAGUGUUGGGCUCCAGGCAACUAGAUCCCAAAUGUUGGUGGCUGCUGCAACUACUAUGACAGCCGCGGUGGCUGUCAUUUCUCCCCCAGCUUCUCCACUGGCCAGCCUCAGGCAGGCUCACUUCUCUCAGCCUCAUCAGACUUUCCCAGCUGAAAAAAUACAGGUCCCCGUUCUCCUCUUUCCUCUUUCAUGUGGGAUGGAAAUCAUUUACUCCGGCAUAGUUGUUAAAAAUAAGAACUGCAGGGCUGGAGCAAUAGCACAGUGGGUAGGGCGUUUGCCUUGCACGCGGCUGACUUGGGUUCAAUUCCCAGCAUCCCAUAUGGUCCCCUGAGCAUGGCCAGGAG
This is a long non-coding RNA of Sorex araneus (European shrew), 946 nucleotides long. RefSeq lists it as uncharacterized. The record is from RefSeq and is a predicted model, not a curated record. The transcript is spliced from 3 exons. NCBI's taxonomy places the organism in Eukaryota, Metazoa, Chordata, Mammalia, Eulipotyphla, Soricidae.